This 253-nucleotide ribosomal RNA is filed under the name uncultured bacterium. RNAcentral describes it as "partial 16S ribosomal RNA". It matches the Rfam family "Bacterial small subunit ribosomal RNA", at positions 524 to 776 of the family's 1533-position model. The record is from RNAcentral.
UACAGGGGUCUCGAGCGUUAGGCGGAAUCACUGGGCUUAAAGCGUGUGUAGGUGGAUGCCUAAGUACCUUGUGAAAUCCCACGGCUUAACCGUGGAACUGCUUGGUAUACUGGUCGUCUUGAGCCAUCUAGGGGCUGUCGGAACAAAUGGUGGAGCGGUGAAAUGCGUAGAUAUCAUUUGGAACGCCAAAGGUGAAAACAGACAGCUGGGGAUGUGCUGACGCUGAGACACGAAAGCCAGGGGAGCGAACGGG